CUUGCCCUGUCCAAAAAAAAUAAAAAUAAAAAAUAUAUUCACCAAAUUAUCAUUUUUCCACACAAAGAAAUCCACCAUGACUACCACUGAUCCACAUCUAUUUCAAUUCUAAGUCAGCAAACUCUCCGAGCAAUGACCGCCACUGGACAUCUACAGAGCAAAUGAUCCACCCACAGAGACAAAUCCACACACCCACACAAAAAAACCACACACACACACUGUCGGUCGGAUCAAAGCCCUAACCUGUGAAAAACGUUUUUCCCUCUUUCCAUCAAGCCUCUUUCAGUUGGCCAUUGGAGCAAACCCUAACCCCUAAAGAAGAAACCCUAAGUCUGGAUCCUCCAUUAGAGACACGAAGGUGUGUUCGGCGAUUUGCAGACGACCGCUGCUGUUAGCAAGCCCUAAGCCCAGACAACUUAGAGUUCAACUCAGAGUCUCGAAUCCUCCACUGGAGCAGAAUAGAAGUGGUAGAAAUCACUGUGUUCUAAUGCAUUAUCAUUCUUCGCAGGCUGAUUCCCCUCACAAAAGCAGCCCGAGUUUGGUAUUUAUGAACUACAAAGAGAAGGAAGAAAAGAAGAUAAAAAUGAAUGCACAACCAUGAGCUUAUUCAUUCAUUUUCUUCGGUCAUUAGGGAGACAUUACAGUUCAUUUCAGCUUGAACUUAGUUUAUAUCUCAAUUUACUUGAUAUACGUGAGAUAUAUGUGGCAGUUUCUCUAUAGUCCGGGCAUGCAUGGUUUUGUCCAGGUAUGUAAGAUCGAUCUUCCCUUUCUCGUACAUAGGGCCCAGAGGCCCCAGAUUUGAUAUUUUUUUGUUGCUUCUCCCAAAUCUUUGAAAGUGCUCUGAACUACCAUUUCUCUUCUUCUACUUUCUUCAAUCAUAGAGGUCAGAUCUCUAACCCAGGCACUUAUCCCGAAAAUAACCUAACUCAGCCAAAUAAGAGCUUAAUUGAAGCAAUUCUGGGAUUAAACAAAGAAAUGAGCAAAGUGGAUAAAGAAGGAAGCAAAUGAAGCCAAAGGUGGGAAGCAGCAAAAUUCGAUCGAUCCAAGUUCAAGGUUCGAUCGAUCGAAUAAUGAUCGAUCUCAGCACUUCAAGAUAGAUCUAAGCCUUGACCCAAAAGCAUGAAGUCCAAAAAGUUCGAUCGAUCCAACACCACCCUUCGAUCAAUCGAACACUUUUGUCCUUAUUUAUAAGAUUGAUCCUAUCCACAGCUGUAUGACCCACUAACCACUUUUGUCUUUUUCCCAAAAAUAUCUCCAAAAAUAUCUUGAAUUUGUCUUUUCCCAAAAAGCUCAACCAGUUGGAUCGAUCCAGCCUAAGUUUGAUGGAUCUCAGCCAGUUCGAUCGAUCCAAGUCCAAGGUUUGAUCGAUCGAACUUCCUUUAGUGCGAAAAAGUUAAAUUUCCAUCCAUUGAAAGUUGUCCUUUAUCCAAUCAUUAGAGAAGAUUGUGUGCACGACCACAGCUCAUUUUGGGUGUCAUUUUGACCUACCUAUAUAAGGAUAAGGAUUGCUUUUAACAAAAGGAGGAGCCAAUAUCAUUUUCAUAUUAUCUCUUGGAGAGGAAGCUUAGAAGGGAGGAGGCUAGAGACACCAUUGGAGGUUCUUCAUCAACGAGGAGCAGAUUUCAACCAUGGAGUUAGCCCUUGAGGGUUGGAGCAACAUCACCAUGAGUGGCUAAACAUCCUCUUGGGGCUAGAGUUAGCCCCAAGCAUGCUUUCUAUAUCUUAAUCUUGUAUAUUAUUGAGAGAUUACUGUUAUAAUUAAUGUUUUGACACAUUUAUACAUAUAGAUCUUGUUUAUUCAAUGAUUUAUGUGGUUUUAUAUUUCCAA
Long non-coding RNA from Cornus florida, 1828 nucleotides. RefSeq lists it as uncharacterized. The record is from RefSeq and is a predicted model, not a curated record. NCBI's taxonomy places the organism in Eukaryota, Viridiplantae, Streptophyta, Magnoliopsida, Cornales, Cornaceae. The transcript has 5 exons.